This 597-nucleotide ribosomal RNA is filed under the name Triticum aestivum (bread wheat). Its description in RNAcentral is "partial small subunit ribosomal RNA". The record is from RNAcentral. Lineage: Eukaryota; Viridiplantae; Streptophyta; Magnoliopsida; Poales; Poaceae.
AUGGGCCUCGACGCCGCGGAAAUCUCUGAAUUGGCGGCGCUCCAGCCGAUCCACACGGCCGUGAGCGGCGCCCGGGCCACCCAAGUGCCAGGGGCGGUCGACGAUGACGCUGCCGACACCGGCUGCGUCACACCCAAGGCGAGCGGCGGGCGAUCGGCCGCUGCAGGAGGUGCGGACGACGGCGACGACGCUGCCGCCGACAACGGCUGCGUCACGCCGAGGGCGAGUGGCUCCCUGGCCAUGCUGCCCAUCGCGCCACUGCUGCAAGACGACGGCGUCGACGCUGGCUUCGCCACGCCGCUGGCCACGGGUGGAGUAAUUGGGCCGCGAGACGGCUGCGCCGCUGCCGGCGACGAGAACAGCUUCACCACGCCGACGACGGCCGACAGCGCGCUGUUGCCGGCCACGGUGUGCCCGCCCGCGCCGCGGAAGUCGGCUCCGGCGCCGACGAGGAAGCGUGCUCUGCUCCAGCAGCGGCUCUUCUACCCGGUGCCGCACGACCUGGCCACCGUGUUCGUGGCCGUGCCGCAGUGCCCGCCGCCCGCCAAGAAGAUGCGGGCGCACGCCGUGGGGUCAUCCGCGCCGCUAGGCACGUGA